UCCAGGACAAAGCAACAAAGACUAUACAGCUCUUCAUGGAGAAGACAGUUCAAGACAAAGCAGCAGAGACAAAGAAGCUGAGGGAGAAGACCGUUCAGGACAAAGCAGCAGAGACAAAGAAGCUGAGGGAGAAGACAGUUCAGGACAAAGCAGCAGAGACAAAGAAGCUGAGGGAGAGGACAGUUCAGGACAAAGCAGCAGAGACAAAGAAGCUGAGGGAGAGGACAGUUCAGGACAAAGCUGCAGAGACAAAGAAGCUGAGGGAGAAGAUAUUUCAGGACAAAGCAGCAGAGACAAAGAAGCUGAGGGAGAGGACAGUUCAGGACAAAGCAGCAGAGACAAAGAAGCUGAGGGAGAAGAUAUAUCAGGACAAAGCAGCAGAGACAAAGAAGCUGAGGGAGAAGACAGUUCAGGACAAAGCAGCAGAGACAAAGAAGCUGAGGGAGAGGACAGUUCAGGACAAAGCAGCAGAGACAAAGAAGCUGAGGGAGAAGAUAUAUCAGGACAAAGCAGCAGAGACAAAGAAGCUGAGGGAGAAGAUAUAUCAGGACAAAGCAGCAGAGACAAAGAAGCUGAGGGAGAGGACAGUUCAGGACAAAGCAGCAGAGACAAAGAAGCUGAGGGAGAGGACAGUUCAGGACAAAGCUGCAGAGACAAAGAAGCUGAGGGAGAAGAUAUUUCAGGACAAAGCAGCAGAGACAAAGAAGCUGAGGGAGAAGAUAUAUCAGGACAAAGCAGCAGAGACAAAGAAGCUGAGGGAGAGGACAGUUCAGGACAAAGCAGCAGAGACAAAGAAGCUGAGGGAGAGGACAGUUCAGGACAAAGCUGCAGAGACAAAGAAGCUGAGGGAGAAGAUAUAUCAGGACAAAGCAGCAGAGACAAAGAAGCUGAGGGAGAAGAUAUAUCAGGACAAAGCAGCAGAGACAAAGAAGCUGAGGGAGAGGACAGUUCAGGACAAAGCAGCAGAGACAAAGAAGCUGAGGGAGAGGACAGUUCAGGACAAAGCUGCAGAGACAAAGAAGCUGAGGGAGAAGAUAUUUCAGGACAAAGCAGCAGAGACAAAGAAGCUGAGGGAGAGGACAGUUCAGGACAAAGCAGCAGAGACAAAGAAGCUGAGGGAGAAGAUAUAUCAGGACAAAGCAGCAGAGACAAAGAAGCUGAGGGAGAAGACAGUUCAGGACAAAGCAGCAGAGACAAAGAAGCUGAGGGAGAAGAUAUAUCAGGACAAAGCAGCAGAGACAAAGAAGCUGAGGGAGAGGACAGUUCAGGACAAAGCAGCAGAGACAAAGAAGCUGAGGGAGAAGAUAUAUCAGGACAAAGCAGCAGAGACAAAGAAGCUGAGGGAGAAGAUAUUUCAGGACAAAGCAGCAGAGACAAAGAAGCUGAGGGAGAAGAUAUUUCAGGACAAAGCAGCAGAGACAAAGAAGCUGAGGGAGAAGAUAUUUCAGGACAAAGUCCAGGAGAUCAGACAAAUGAAUGUCGUGACCUGGCUGAUGAUAUAACAUAUUUGGCAGCUAAAUUCAUACCCCAGAAGAAAGUGGGUCAAGCCUUGUUAGAGGAUGGAAAUGUCCACGAAGGCAUGGCCAAAACAGAGGACUGCAGAAAGACCCUAAAAGCUGUGGAAAAAGCUUUGGAGACGAACUGGCAUACAUUUGACCUGGCAACUCACGGUCUUGGGCCUGCAGUUAUAAAAGGCACUUUUGAAUUAAUUGAUGCAUGUCUUAAAGAGAAAAUGAAA
Molecule: RNA transcript, 1738 nt
Organism: Astyanax mexicanus (Mexican tetra)
Lineage: Eukaryota; Metazoa; Chordata; Actinopteri; Characiformes; Acestrorhamphidae
Gene name: DNA ligase 1-like
Exons: 3
Source: RefSeq, a predicted model, not a curated record